AGAAGGGAGCUUGCUCCCGGAUGUUAGCGGCGGACGGGUGAGUAACACGUGGGUAACCUGCCUGUAAGACUGGGAUAACUCCGGGAAACCGGAGCUAAUACCGGAUAGUUCCUUGAACCGCAUGGUUCAAGGAUGAAAGACGGUUUCGGCUGUCACUUACAGAUGGACCCGCGGCGCAUUAGCUAGUUGGUGAGGUAACGGCUCACCAAGGCGACGAUGCGUAGCCGACCUGAGAGGGUGAUCGGCCACACUGGGACUGAGACACGGCCCAGACUCCUACGGGAGGCAGCAGUAGGGAAUCUUCCGCAAUGGACGAAAGUCUGACGGAGCAACGCCGCGUGAGUGAUGAAGGUUUUCGGAUCGUAAAGCUCUGUUGUUAGGGAAGAACAAGUGCAAGAGUAACUGCUUGCACCUUGACGGUACCUAACCAGAAAGCCACGGCUAACUACGUGCCAGCAGCCGCGGUAAUACGUAGGUGGCAAGCGUUGUCCGGAAUUAUUGGGCGUAAAGGGCUCGCAGGCGGUUUCUUAAGUCUGAUGUGAAAGCCCCCGGCUCAACCGGGGAGGGUCAUUGGAAACUGGGAAACUUGAGUGCAGAAGA
RNAcentral lists this ribosomal RNA (600 nucleotides) under Bacillus pumilus. Its description in RNAcentral is "bacterial SSU rRNA". It matches the Rfam family "Bacterial small subunit ribosomal RNA", at positions 70 to 655 of the family's 1533-position model. Lineage: Bacteria; Bacillati; Bacillota; Bacilli; Caryophanales; Bacillaceae. The record is from RNAcentral.